Molecule: ribosomal RNA, 301 nt
Filed under: uncultured bacterium
Lineage: Bacteria
Description: partial 16S ribosomal RNA
Rfam family: Bacterial small subunit ribosomal RNA
Source: RNAcentral
CAGUAGCCGCGGUAAUACGAAGGGUGCAAGCGUUACUCGGAAUUACUGGGCGUAAAGCGUGCGUAGGUGGUGGUUUAAGUCCGUUGUGAAAGCCCUGGGCUCAACCUGGGAAUUGCAGUGGAUACUGGGUCACUAGAGUGUGGUAGAGGAUAGUGGAAUUUCCGGUGUAGCAGUGAAAUGCGUAGAGAUCGGAAGGAACAUCUGUGGCGAAGGCGACUAUCUGGGCCAUUACUGACACUGAGGCACGAAAGCGUGGGGAGCAAACAGGAUUAGAUACCCCCGUAGUCCCUGUCUCUUAUAC